RNAcentral lists this ribosomal RNA (476 nucleotides) under uncultured bacterium. RNAcentral describes it as "bacterial SSU rRNA". It matches the Rfam family "Bacterial small subunit ribosomal RNA", at positions 234 to 722 of the family's 1533-position model. The record is from RNAcentral.
CGGCCUAUCAGCUAGUGGUGGGUAAUGGCCUACCAGCGACGACGGGUAGCCGGCCUGAGAGGGCGACCGGCCACACUGGGACUGAGACACGGCCCAGACUCCUACGGGAGGCAGCAGUGGGGAAUAUUGCGCAAUGGGCGAAAGCCUGACGCAGCGACGCCGCGUGAGGGACGAAGGUCUUCGGAUUGUAAACCCUCUUUCAGCAGGGACGAAGCGAAAGUGACUGUACCUGCAGAAGAAGCACCGGCUAACUACGUGCCAGCAGCCGCGGUAAUACGUAGGGUGCAAGCGUUGUCCGGAUUUUAUUGGGCGUAAAGAGCUCGUAGGCGGUUUGUCGCGUCGGAUGUGAAAACCCCAAUGGCUUAACCUUGGGCCUGCAUUCGAUACGGGCAAACUAGAGUGUGGUAGGGGAGACUGGAACUCCUGGUGUAGCGGUGGAAUGCGCAGAUAUCAGGAAGAACACCGAUGGCGAAGGC